GGAGAGGUGCCAGAGUGGUAAUGGAGCAGAUUGCUAAUCUGUCAACGCGUAAGUGUUGCCUGGGUUCGAAUCCCAGUCUCUCCGCAA
This 87-nucleotide transfer RNA is filed under the name Flavobacteriaceae bacterium. Its description in RNAcentral is "tRNA-Ser". It matches the Rfam family "tRNA". From Rfam's summary of the family: Transfer RNA (tRNA) molecules are approximately 80 nucleotides in length. Their secondary structure includes four short double-helical elements and three loops (D, anti-codon, and T loops). Lineage: Bacteria; Pseudomonadati; Bacteroidota; Flavobacteriia; Flavobacteriales; Flavobacteriaceae. The record is from RNAcentral.